AGAACUUAGCAGAGAUGCUUUGGUGCCUUCGGGAACUCUGAGACAGGUGCUGCAUGGCUGUCGUCAGCUCGUGUUGUGAAAUGUUGGGUUAAGUCCCGCAACGAGCGCAACCCUUAUCCUUUGUUGCCAGCGGUCCGGCCGGGAACUCAAAGGAGACUGCCAGUGAUAAGCUGGAGGAAGGUGGGGAUGACGUCAAGUCAUCAUGGCCCUUACGAGUAGGGCUACACACGUGCUACAAUGGCGCAUACAAAGAGAAGCGACCUCGCGAGAGCAAGCGGACCUCAUAAAGUGCGUCGUAGUCCGGAUUGGAGUCUGCAACUCGACUCCAUGAAGUCGGAAUCGCUAGUAAUCGUAGAUCAGAAUGCUACGGUGAAUACGUUCCCGGGCCUUGUACACACCGCCCGUCACACCAUGGGAGUGGGUUGCAAAAGAAGUAGGUAGCUUAACCUUCGGGAGGGCGCUUACCACUUUGUGAUUCAUGACUGGGGUGAAGUCGUAACAAGGUAAGCGUAGCGAG
Molecule: ribosomal RNA, 517 nt
Filed under: uncultured bacterium
Lineage: Bacteria
Description: bacterial SSU rRNA
Rfam family: Bacterial small subunit ribosomal RNA
Source: RNAcentral